Molecule: transfer RNA, 76 nt
Filed under: Camelus bactrianus (Bactrian camel)
Lineage: Eukaryota; Metazoa; Chordata; Mammalia; Artiodactyla; Camelidae
Also listed under: 1 other name
Rfam family: tRNA
About the family: Transfer RNA (tRNA) molecules are approximately 80 nucleotides in length. Their secondary structure includes four short double-helical elements and three loops (D, anti-codon, and T loops).
Source: Rfam by way of RNAcentral
AGGGGUAUGGCUCAGUGGUAGGCAGAGUGCCCACUUAGCAUGCACAAGGUCCUGGGUUCAAUCCCCAGUACCUCCA